GCUAAAAAGCUCUUGAACUUUCCACAACUUCUAGUAUUUUCUUUUCUUUUGUUUCUAGGGCAAAGGGAGAGAAACAGGAAAGGUAAAGAGCUCUAGAAAGAAGAGAAAGGGUGUGAGUGUCGAUACCCAAAGCCGAUGGAGGUGUAGGCGGGGGUUUGAGAGGUAAAUAACGAGGGAUUGUGGAAUGUAGGGGAGUAGAUGAAUGAAGAGGUGUGGGUGACGAGGAGAAUGAGAGGGGUUUAGAGAGUGUAUGUAACAGAACAGGGGGAGGGGAGGGGAGGGGAAGGGAAAGUGAGUGAAUGCGGGGUUUCCAUUUAUUAUUUUGUUGUUCUCAAAGUAAAUUCUAUGAAUAGGUGAAAUUGGAAGAUGAGUCGAAGUAUGGCGGCGGCGGCGGGGCUUUUGUGGUGAGGGGUGUGUAGGUCGUCACUCAAACAUCGAGGCCGACGAUUAGGGGUGGAGGCGGAGAGGGAAACGGAGUCGGUUUUGAAGAUCCGGGCAACCGCGGAGCUACAUUUUUUGGUUGGCUCUCUGAUCAUUAAUUUGGAUUAUGCAACACAACUGCAAAAUACAUUAAUUCCCUAAAUAUCAGCUGCAGAGGUUUCGAGCUUUUCUUUAAACCUCCAAACAACUUCGAACUGUUGUAUGAUGACGGUUGAGCACAAUUCUUUAUGCAUCCGUUAAAGAUCUUGAAGAGAUAGUUCAAAAGAUCAAUGCUCGUGAGAAAGCAGGACGUCGUGAGUUCAAGAAAGAGGAGAGAAUAUAUCAUCCCUCACAAAUAACUCCAGGGAGCAGAUCCAACGACAAGCAAGCUUUCUCAACCAUUGAACGUACUCCCCAAAAAAUGGGUAUGUGUCAAACUUUUUCUCAGAUCAAAAUUUAAACAAUGGCUUUGAAACUCGGACCCUCCCAUCAUCUCAUUUUCUAUCUUUCCUCUUCCUCUCAAAUUAUCAGACUUCUCUCUCUCCCUCUCUCAUCCCCUCCUUAGUUUGAACUUUGACGAAUGAAGAUUGCCAAUGCCUUGAUUGCUGAUUCACUGAUGUGGGAAAUCUACUCCACAAUCAAGUUUCGCGGACGUAAGAUCUCUAAUUUUCCCCUUUUAUUCAGCUUCUUGAAUUCGAGAGUUCUCAUAAAUCUGAUUCACUUUGGGGCUAUAUACAUGGUAGUACUAUUUAGGCUUUCUGGUACGCUCUGCAGCAUCUACAGGUAUCUGAUUUAUGUCGUUCACUUCAUUUGAUUGUAAGUUUCUCUCCAAAGCAUUCAUCAUUUAUUUGAUUCCAUCUAUAAAGAUUCCUUCACAUAUCUAUCAAGUUUCCACAACAUAAGGUCUGUUUAAAGUGUACAACACUAAGCACUUUAGGGUGUUUUUAUGUCACUAUGAUAAAUUUAAAUGGUCGUUGUUACAGAUAACAAUCCUUCAUCAGUCGGUUUUACACAAAAAAAAAAAAAAAUCUACUACGAUACAUCAGUCAUGUUAUCAAUGCAGAAUUUGUAGCAGUAAUCCAUAUGCUGGUGGUGGUUUUUGUUUUUUGAGUUUGGUAAACAUUAGACUUUAAAUAGAUGCAUCAAUUCAUUCAUGUAAUUGGUGUAACUAGUUUCAUCAAGGCAUAGCCUAGCAUGCUAUUACCGGUAUGAGUUUUAGUGUGGAUUUUUUUAUUUAUAAAAGUGCAUCUUGGGUUAGUUUUGUGACUUUCGUGAUUAACAUCAUCUAGGAGAGCCCCAAUUCCAUAAUUCCAUAAUAGAGAUAAGUAGCUUUAUCAAUUUGUGUUGCAAUUUGGGUAGCAACUAGCUAGUGACUUACCAAUAAAGGAAUAAUGUGUUUAUUCUCAUCCUUUUCUUUUUUAAUUCCAACUUGACUUGACUUUUCUUCAUAGCUUGGAGUCCACGUUUUUGCAAGGCCUGGAAUUAUUCCAGCUUCUACAGUACUUUUGCUUUAGCCACAUUUUUUGUUUUAGGGCCUUCUUGCGUGGGCCGUGCCUUUAUGUAUGGGAUCUCCAUACGCUUAAUUGCUGCGUAUGACCUAUUAUGGUUCCUAAUUGUUGUCUUUAUUUGAACCUUAUUACGGUUGCCUUCAAUGAAGCUUAUUUUUAAUAGAUAAAAGGUAGUUCGAAUAAGGAACAGGUUGUGUACAUAGUGUUUGAUUCAAAUUUAAAACAUCUCUCUCCCUCUCAAACCUCUUCUUCGCAAGGCGUCUCAACCCAACCAUGAUGCAAUUGCAGGAGAGAGUAGUUGUUAUAGUGGGUAUUUUACUCUUUUGUGCAAUAUCUUGGCUUGAUAGGUAUAUGGGUGGUGUAUGCGGUUUAAACAAAGCAUUGUGACCAAGGAUAAUUUGAGGCUGUAAAGAAAUAAUGUUUAGUUAUUGUUGUUUGUAUUCAUUUGAAUGCAGGGGAAGCAUUUGGACAAGUUGAAAUUCUUUUGAAUAGGUGAUUUAGCACUAGCAAGUUCUUUUUGCUUUAAAAUAGGUAGGCUUUGCAGAAAAUUAAAACUCGUAUCAGCAGUCUUAUGACUCUUAUCUUAAAAUUUGGUUUUGAUUCUUUCAAAAAAACCAUGUUCAAAAUCUAAUCGUAGACUUCUAUUGCUUGAUACGUUAGUAGCAUUGAUUUAAUGUACAAGUUUUUUCAUUGUAUUUCUCAUCAUUUCUUUGAUAAAUUUUCAAAGGCCAUGAUCAAAAUUAAUUAACUAUUGUGCCAUUAGCCAUAAUUGAUGCAUUCGAUAUUUUCAAGAUUUAAUUAUGCAAGAUAAGUUUAAGGUUUGAUGCUUAUUUUCAUCUCCCAAAUAUCUAGGGGAAUGAAUUAGUGUGGACACCAAGUCUUCUGACUUGCUGUAGCCUGGUUUUGGUACCAAGGAAGUGGCUAAAGCAUUAGUUUUUGUUUGUCAUUUGUUAGUUCAGGCAUGUGGGAGUCUGGGAUGCUUUCUCCAUUUUAGAUCCUAGCGGAAUUGGCUUCGAUGAGGCAUAUUUGACAAACUCAUUUCAAAACAUCAUAUGUUUAUGCAACCCCAUCCCAUUUGGAAAGAAGACUGAUGUCUUGGUUUCAUUUUUGUAGGUGUGACUUAGAUGUUUUUGUUUGGCAUAACUGUAUUAUGGGGAUUUUGUUUUUAUGCAUUUGUGGUACAUUGUGACAGCUUCAGAAUGAUGGACCCACCAAGCGGGAUGUCUCAUAUGUAGUCAAUGCUUCGAGUGCAAUGGAUAAGGUAUUUCAUAGGUUCAUGUAUGGUACUAUAGUAAUCCAUAUUUUAUUUUAUCGUGCUGAUAUAUCUAUUUUUGUAGACUAGUGAAGGCUGUUGCAAAGAAAUUUUACGUUCUUACAUGUCAAGGCACUAUUGUGGAGAUCUUGAUGGUGCCUAUGAGGUGAUUGAGAAAAAUUGUGCAGGGUCUAUGAGCGUCAAAGUUGCAAAAUCUGCAUUGCGGAAUAUGCUUCCUUUCCCCCUGUACAAAAAGAUACACUGUAGUUAUAUUGAAGCCUGAAGCAAGGUUCUCUUCAUGAUGAAAAUAGCAACUGAGAGAAUUGUUGGUGGUUGUUGAUACUUGGUCUCAGGACUUAUAGAGACGGCAUUAUAUCUUGGGGUCUUCUUUCAUUUGCCUGUGUCUUUUGGGCAUCUGUGUUAGACAAUACGUGAACAUGUUUGUACUAAAGUAAAUUCUUGGAUGAACUCGGCAUGCCAACGAUGUCGCUUAUUGUGCUGGUAACAGGAAAGAUGGUGUUCACUGUGAUUAUUGAUCAUAUGAAACAAGGUUUAAGUGAACAUAUUGCUAAUUGGAUUCGUCACAGAUUCUCUGUCUGACAAUGUAGAACAUGACUAACUGGGCAGGCCUGUAUGGUGGCUUAUGUCUGUAGCUGACGCAUUGGGUGUUUGUGAUUUACUCGAAUGAUAGUCGAUGGUGCUUUGGAUCUUU
Rhododendron vialii is the source of this 3892-nucleotide RNA transcript. RefSeq lists it as uncharacterized. Lineage: Eukaryota; Viridiplantae; Streptophyta; Magnoliopsida; Ericales; Ericaceae. The transcript has 8 exons. The record is from RefSeq and is a predicted model, not a curated record.